UACGGAGGGUGCGAGCGUUAUCCGGAAUCAUUGGGUUUAAAGGGUCUGCAGGCGGUAAUAUAAGUCAGUGGUGAAAUCCUACAGCUUAACUGUAGCACUGCCAUUGAAACUGUAUUACUAGAGUAUGAUGGAAGUAGGCGGAAUGAGUAGUGUAGCGGUGAAAUGCAUAGAUAUUACUCAGAACACCGAUAGCGAAGGCAGCUUACUAUGUCAUUACUGACGCUGAUGGACGAAAGCGUGGGGAGCGAACAGG
RNAcentral lists this ribosomal RNA (253 nucleotides) under uncultured bacterium. RNAcentral describes it as "partial 16S ribosomal RNA". It matches the Rfam family "Bacterial small subunit ribosomal RNA", at positions 524 to 776 of the family's 1533-position model. The record is from RNAcentral.